UGUUUGAAAUUAGGCCAGUGACACUUUUAUCUAAGUGCAUAAGCUAUGUGUGUUUGUUUGUUUGUGUGUGUGUAUUUUUGCACAAGAGGUGCAUGUGUAUGUCUUUCAAUGACUUUUAAAUGCUAGACAGAGGUCAACAGUAGCUAACACACAGGACCUCUCCGUAGCUAAAAUCUAGCUAAUCAUGGGAUCUGGUCUAUUAUUUAGUCUGAUCAGGACUUGACUGCAUCUGCCAUUCUCCUAAGGAUGUGCCAAAGAGUGUGUUUACUCCCUGGUCUCGCCUCUGUAAGCUGUUUACAUGGGACCUGUUCAUAGGGAGGAGCUCUGCACAGCUACGGAGCAACCAAGGCUCCUCAUUGGACGAGGGACAUGUAUCGGUGUACAUCUGGAUCCAGUGACUCCCAGUAUGUGAACCACAGAGUUGACUGACUGUUGCAGUGACAUACAUAAGCGGCCUUGGCUUCAUGGAACUGUUACACUACUGCAUUGUUGCACCCAGUACACGGACGCCCACAGAGGUUGCUAUCUGUCAGAGCUCUGUGAAGUAUUGGUGCCCUUAAAUCCAGACGCAUUACGUAUGGCCUCUGGUGGAACAGCUUCUAAACUGGGGCAACGCUGUCGCUCCAGCGUGUCUUCACAUUGCUUCAGUUUCUCCAAGCUGAACAUUGGUGCUCAUGAGAAUGGGAUGGUGGGGAUGGGGAGUGACUGAAGACAGGAGAAAAUGAGUGAUUGUUGUGUCCUAAGAUCAGAGGACUCUAAAUACUUCAGUCUUUAAAGGGGACCACUUUUGCACGUUCCGAUUUUUCUCCACCAGUGAGUGUUCACAUCGUGAUAGGGUUAGCCUCUGGCAGGUUUGUGACUGUGUUACCGUGUAAGAUGAGUUUCCGCUGGUGUUACAACUAAGUCCCCUUUAAGAUUGCCUGUGUGUACCCCUCAGCUGGUAUGACUGGCUGCAGAGGGUUGGUGUGUGUGUGAAUGAGUGUGUGGAGAGCUAAGACCAUGAUCUGAUGAUGAUAAUACAAAUAUUGAAGAAUUGUACUGUACACAAAGGGUUGAGGUUCAUGUGAAUCAGCUCCUGAACAAACAUUAAAUGUGAUUUCAAACUCAGCCACUUUUGAAUUGAGUCUUCUUAAAUGCUU
This 1139-nucleotide long non-coding RNA is filed under the name Oncorhynchus mykiss (rainbow trout). RNAcentral's name for it is "lncRNA (ENSOMYG00000069698.1)". Lineage: Eukaryota; Metazoa; Chordata; Actinopteri; Salmoniformes; Salmonidae. The record is from RNAcentral.